GCGCCCUUAGCUCAGCUGGAUAGAGCAACGGACUUCUAAUCCGUGUGCCCCAGGUUCGAAUCCUGGAGGGCGCGCCA
This 77-nucleotide transfer RNA is filed under the name Anaerococcus octavius. RNAcentral describes it as "tRNA-Arg". It matches the Rfam family "tRNA". From Rfam's summary of the family: Transfer RNA (tRNA) molecules are approximately 80 nucleotides in length. Their secondary structure includes four short double-helical elements and three loops (D, anti-codon, and T loops). Further hydrogen bonds mediate the characteristic L-shaped molecular structure. tRNAs have two regions of fundamental functional importance: the anti-codon, which is responsible for specific mRNA codon recognition, and the 3' end, to which the tRNAs corresponding amino acid is attached (by aminoacyl-tRNA synthetases). tRNAs cope with the degeneracy of the genetic code in two manners: having more than one tRNA (with a specific anti-codon) for a particular amino acid; and 'wobble' base-pairing, i.e. permitting non-standard base-pairing at the 3rd anti-codon position. RNAcentral also lists the same sequence under 1 other name. The record is from RNAcentral. Lineage: Bacteria; Bacillati; Bacillota; Tissierellia; Tissierellales; Peptoniphilaceae.